GUUGGUGGAGUCUGAAUUCUAUUUUCCGAAGCCAGAGAAUUCAUAACAAUGGUGCAGAGAUGGCAGCGGUUCUGAGGCAAGAGUACUGAAAUUUGCUUUAUAAUUUACUUGAUUAUCCAAGUUGUGCAUUUGAAGAAACACAUCCAUGUUUCCGUAGUGCUUAGUGCUAUGGGUGAAAGAAAUCUUAAAGUCAAGCAGAGAAGAAAAAAAUAAAACCCACGCAUACCUCAGAAAAGCCCAAUUCAACUCCUAACAUCACCCAACCACCCCAUCCCAGAAGAAUGAAACCAUGGAGCACAACAGGUAAUAUCAGUUUUCACACCUCUGCAUCCCCUUUUAGGAUGCUCCGGGAUAUUUUUCCUUGUGAAUUUCAGUGAACGAUUCUUUUCUAUAUUAAACUUGGUUUACUA
RNAcentral lists this long non-coding RNA (410 nucleotides) under Homo sapiens (human). Its description in RNAcentral is "HSALNT0332432". Lineage: Eukaryota; Metazoa; Chordata; Mammalia; Primates; Hominidae. The record is from RNAcentral.